GCUACGGGGGGCUGCAGUUGGGAAUAUUGCACAAUGGGCGAAAGCCUGAUGCAGCGACGCCGCGUGGGCGAUGAAGUCCUUCGGGAUGUAAAGACCUUUUUUCUGGGACGAUUAUGACGGUACCAGAAGAAUAAGCAUCGGCUAACUACGUGCCAGCAGCCGCGGUAAUACGUAGGAGGCGAGCGUUAUCCGGAAUUAUUGGGCGUAAAGCGCGUGUAGGCGGUUUUAUAAGUUUCUAAUUAAAUCUUGAGGCUCAACUUCAGAAUUGUUAGGAAUACUGUAAGACUAGAGGAUAAUCGGGGUAAGUGGAAUUCCCGGUGUAGCAGUGAAAUGCGUUGAUAUCGGGAGGAACACCAAUGGCGAAGGCAGCUUACUAGGUUAUAUCUGACGCUGAGGAGCGAAAGCGUGGGUAGCGAACAGGAUUAGAUACCCGUGUAGUC
RNAcentral lists this ribosomal RNA (440 nucleotides) under uncultured bacterium. RNAcentral describes it as "partial 16S ribosomal RNA". It matches the Rfam family "Bacterial small subunit ribosomal RNA", at positions 338 to 795 of the family's 1533-position model. The record is from RNAcentral.